RNAcentral lists this transfer RNA (73 nucleotides) under Stegodyphus mimosarum. It matches the Rfam family "tRNA". From Rfam's summary of the family: Transfer RNA (tRNA) molecules are approximately 80 nucleotides in length. Their secondary structure includes four short double-helical elements and three loops (D, anti-codon, and T loops). The record is from Rfam by way of RNAcentral. Lineage: Eukaryota; Metazoa; Arthropoda; Arachnida; Araneae; Eresidae.
GCCCUUGUGGUGUAACGGUCAGCACACUCGCCGUGUAUCUGAGAGGUCCGUGGUUCGAGUCCUGGUGAGGGCA